AACGGCCAUACCAUGCUGAAUAUACCGGUUCUCGUUAGAUCACCGAAGUCAAGCAUCAUUGGGCGCGGUCAGUACUUGGGUGGGUGACCACCUGGGAACACCGGGC
RNAcentral lists this ribosomal RNA (106 nucleotides) under Caerostris extrusa. The record is from RNAcentral. Lineage: Eukaryota; Metazoa; Arthropoda; Arachnida; Araneae; Araneidae.